Molecule: ribosomal RNA, 2342 nt
Filed under: human oral metagenome
Description: bacterial LSU rRNA
Rfam family: Bacterial large subunit ribosomal RNA
Source: RNAcentral
UGAGUAGGCCGGAGCACGAGGAAUUCCGGUUGAAUUCGGGCCGACCAUGGUCCAAGGCUAAAUAUGUCAGAUGACCGAUAGCGAAGAGUACCGAGAGGGAAAGGUGAAAAGCACCCCUGGCGGGGAGUGAAAGAGACCUGAACCCGUGUGCCUACAAGCGAUCGGAGCAUGGCCGGCGUUUUCGGACGCUGGGGUAUGUGACGGUAUGCCUUUUGUAAAAUGAGCCGGCGAGUUAUUGUGCGUAGCGAGGUUAAGGACUGAGAGGUCUGUAGCCGAAGGGAAACCGAGUCUGAAUAGGGCGCAAGUUUCGUACAAUGGACCCGAAGCCCGACGAUCUAUCCAUGUCCAGGUUGAAGCCCCGGUGAAGCGGGGUGGAGGACCGAACCGAAGCCUGUUGAAAAAGUCUCGGAUGAGGUGUGGAUAGGAGUGAAAAGCUAAUCGAGUUGGGUGAUAGCUGGUUCUCCCCGAAAUGCAUUUAGGUGCAGCCCUGAAUGUUUAGUGAUGGGGGUAGAGCACUGAAUGGACGCGGGCGGUUGUGACCGUACCAAAUCCAAUCAAACUGCGAAUACCAUUACUUGAGAGUUCAGGAGUGAGACUGCGGGAGAGAAGUUUCGUAGUCGAGAGGGAAAGAGCCCAGACCCACAGCUAAGGUCCCGAAGACAUGCUGAGUGUGGCAAGGAUGUGACGAUGCCUGGACAGCCAGGAGGUUGGCUUAGAAGCAGCCACCCUUUAAAGAGUGCGUAAUAGCUCACUGGUCGAGGAUUGUUGCGCCGAAAAUACCGGGGGCUAAGCAUGUCACCGAAGCUUGGGGAUUGGAUGUAAGUCCGAAUCGGUAGGGGAGCGUUCCAUGUAGGGAGAAGUCGAACCGGCGAGGUUCGGUGGACAGCAUGGAAGUGAGAAUGCCGGCAUGAGUAACGCGAAGUGUGUGAGAAUCACACUCACCGGAAGUCCAAGGGUUCCUGGGGAAGGUUGAUCCGCCCAGGGUAAGGCGGGGCCUAAGGUAAGGCCGAGAGGCGUAGCUGAUGGACAACAGGUUGCUAAUCCUGUCCCGCGAAGCGGUUGUUUGACGAUGGAGUGACGCAGGAAGCUAGGUGCGCCGGCGGAUGGAAUAGCCGGUCUAAGGGCGAAGCUUGGACGGGGAGGUAAAUCCCCCUGUUUAUAGGUGAGACCUGAAUGGGAGUUGUCAGAGAUGACGGCGAAGGCAUUGACGCUCGACUGCCAGGAAAAGCUUCUAAGGAGACCGCGCGCGCCCGUACCCGAAACCGACACAGGUGGACUGGCUGAGAAGGCUAAGGUGAGCGGGAGAACUAUCGUUAAGGAACUCUGCAAGUUGACCCCGUAACCUAGGGAGAAGGGGUGCCACAGGGGUGAAGGAGUACAUCCGGAGCUUGAUGUGGUCGCAGAAACCAGGCACAGGCGACUGUUUACUAAAAACACAGGACUCUGCAUAAGGCGUAAGCCGAAGUAUAGGGUCUGACACCUGCCCGGUGCUGGAAGGUUAAUUGGAGGGGUUAGUGCCGCGAGGUGCGAAGCUCUGAAAUGAAGCCCCAGUAAACGGCGGCCGUAACUAUAACGGUCCUAAGGUAGCGAAAUUCCUUGUCGGGUAAGUUCCGACCUGCACGAAAGGUGUAACGAUCUGUGCGCUGUCUCGACGGUAGACCCGGUGAAAUUGUGGUCCUGGUAAAGACGCCAGGUACCCGUGGUGGGACGGAAAGACCCCAUGGAGCUUUACUGUAACUUGGUAUUGGAUUUUGUCUUAUGAUGCACAGGAUAGGUGGGAGGCGUUGAGGCAGUCAUUUCGGUGAUUGAGGAGCCGUUGUUGGGAUACCACCCUUUGUAAGAUGAAAUUCUAACCCUUGAGCGUUGAAGCACGCGAGGGGACAUUGCCAGGCGGGCAGUUUGACUGGGGCGGUCGCCUCCCAAAGAGUAACGGAGGCGCGCAAAGGUCACCUCAGGGCGAAUGGAAACCGCCCUAAGAGAGCGUAAGCGUAUAAGGUGGCUUGACUGCGAGACUGACGGGUCGAGCAGGAACGAAAGUUGGUGCUAGUGAUCCGGUGGUUCCGAAUGGAAGGGCCAUCGCUCAACGGAUAAAAGCUACCCUGGGGAUAACAGGCUGAUCUCGCCCGAGAGUUCCAAUCGACGGCGUGGUUUGGCACCUCGAUGUCGGCUCAUCGCAUCCUGGGGCUGAAGCAGGUCCCAAGGGUUGGUCUGUUCGCCCAUUAAAGCGGUACGUGAGCUGGGUUUAGAACGUCGUGAGACAGUUCGGUCCCUAUCCACCAUGGGCGAGAGGUAUUUGAGGAGAGCUGUUCCUAGUACGAGAGGACCGGAAUGGACGAACCGCU